This 553-nucleotide non-coding RNA is filed under the name Macrophomina phaseolina MS6. Its description in RNAcentral is "Bacterial small subunit ribosomal RNA". It matches the Rfam family "Bacterial small subunit ribosomal RNA", at positions 1070 to 1520 of the family's 1533-position model. The record is from Rfam by way of RNAcentral. Lineage: Eukaryota; Fungi; Ascomycota; Dothideomycetes; Botryosphaeriales; Botryosphaeriaceae.
UAAUAUCUGAUCAUUAUUAAUAAAUGUAAAUCUUUAUAUUUAUUAAUAUAAUAAUUGCAAAUCUAUAUUAUUAAGAUCAUAUCCUAAUAAUAGCAAUUAUUUAUUUAUUUAUUUAAUAUGAUGCUCAGAUGAUGGGUAACACUUGAAAGGGUUAUGACAAAUCAAUAUGAUCCAUAUGAUCUGGGCUAUAGACGUGCUACAAGAAUAAUAAACAAAAUGAUGCAAAUUCGCGAGAAUGAGCUAACCAUUAAAUAUUAUUAACCUUCCGGAUUGAAGGCUGGAAUUCGCCUUUAUGAAGUAGGAAUUUCGAGUAAUCGUGAAUUAGAAUGUCACGGUGAAGACAAAUCUUUAGAGUGUACUAACUGCUCAUCACAGGAUGAAAGAUCUGGUGGGAUGAAAUUGGGCUAGACAAGUAACUAUAUCUUAAAGUUUUUUAAAACACUAAUUAAUAUUAGUAAUGUUGUAAGUCUGGCAGUGUGAUUUCUACGGAUUGAUUAUUUUGAAGUUGAAACAAGGUUGUGCUAAGGGAACUUGGUGCAGAUAGUUGAAAUGU